Molecule: ribosomal RNA, 326 nt
Filed under: uncultured eukaryote
Lineage: Eukaryota
Description: partial 18S ribosomal RNA
Rfam family: Eukaryotic small subunit ribosomal RNA
Source: RNAcentral
CCCUUAGAUGUUCUGGGCUGCACGCGCGCUACACUGAUGCACUCAACGAGUUUUCGACCUUGCCCGAUAGGGCUGGGUAAUCUUUUUAAAAUGCAUCGUGAUGGGGAUAGAUUAUUGCAAUUAUUAAUCUUCAACGAGGAAUUCCUAGUAAGCGCGAGUCAUCAGCUCGUGCUGAUUACGUCCCUGCCCUUUGUACACACCGCCCGUCGCUCCUACCGAUUGAGUGCUCAGGUGAAUAAUUCGGACUGCAGCAAUGUUUGGAUCCCGAACGUUGCAGCGGAAAGUUUAGUGAACCUUAUCACUUAGAGGAAGGAGAAGUCGUAACA